Molecule: non-coding RNA, 310 nt
Organism: Anas platyrhynchos (mallard)
Lineage: Eukaryota; Metazoa; Chordata; Aves; Anseriformes; Anatidae
Source: RefSeq, a predicted model, not a curated record
CUCCGCCUCCGCGGCUAGUGAGGCACAACCAAAAUGGAGGACCCCAUAUGCCUGAACGUCCAGGGAAAACGUGAUAACAUGGUCCCAGUGCGUGUUCCCCAUAAGCUCAAAAUCCAGAAGUUUGAAGAUCCUGAUUUCUAAUCUUGGGUUGUGACUUCAGCAGUGCUGCCACAAGGAUAUAGCUAUCGACCCCGUGUUGCAUCUGCCACAACAGUGGGACUCUUGUAUCCGUGAUGUGUUUCAAUGGCAUUGCAUGGCCAUGUGUAUCAUGGCUGAACGUAUCUCCAGGUAAGCUUCUACACAAAGAAAC